This 327-nucleotide ribosomal RNA is filed under the name uncultured eukaryote. RNAcentral describes it as "partial 18S ribosomal RNA". It matches the Rfam family "Eukaryotic small subunit ribosomal RNA", at positions 1470 to 1796 of the family's 1831-position model. The record is from RNAcentral.
CCCUUAGAUGUUCUGGGCUGCACGCGCGCUACACUGAAGCGUUCAACGAGUAUUCACCUUGCCCGGGAGGGUUGGGUAAUCUUUUGAAAACGCUUCGUGAUGGGGAUAGAUUAUUGCAAUUAUUAAUCUUCAACGAGGAAUUCCUAGUAAGCGCGGGUCAUCAUCCCGCGCUGAAUACGUCCCUGCCCUUUGUACACACCGCCCGUCGCUCCUACCGAUUGAGUGGUCCGGUGAGGCUUUGGGAUCUGAGCGGAAAGAGCGUUUCGCUGUUUCUGCCCGGAAAACUCAGUCGAACCUUAUCAUUUAGAGGAAGGAGAAGUCGUAACA